GGUUGUAGCUGGCUCCUCGGAGC
This 23-nucleotide ribosomal RNA is filed under the name Psathyrella ammophila. RNAcentral describes it as "partial 18S ribosomal RNA". The record is from RNAcentral. RNAcentral also lists the same sequence under 1 other name. Lineage: Eukaryota; Fungi; Basidiomycota; Agaricomycetes; Agaricales; Psathyrellaceae.